RNAcentral lists this transfer RNA (72 nucleotides) under Bos taurus (domestic cattle). It matches the Rfam family "tRNA". Rfam says of the family: Transfer RNA (tRNA) molecules are approximately 80 nucleotides in length. Their secondary structure includes four short double-helical elements and three loops (D, anti-codon, and T loops). RNAcentral also lists the same sequence under 2 other names. Lineage: Eukaryota; Metazoa; Chordata; Mammalia; Artiodactyla; Bovidae. The record is from Rfam by way of RNAcentral.
UCCCUGGUGGCUCAGCUGGUAAAGAAUCCACAUGCAAUGCGGGAGACCUGGGUUCGAUCCCUGGCUUGGGAA